Molecule: ribosomal RNA, 550 nt
Filed under: uncultured bacterium
Lineage: Bacteria
Description: bacterial SSU rRNA
Rfam family: Bacterial small subunit ribosomal RNA
Source: RNAcentral
UAGGGAAUCUUCGGCAAUGGGGGCAGCCCUGACCGAGCAACGCCGCGUGAGUGAAGAAGGUUUUCGGAUCGUAAAGCUCUGUUGUAAGAGAAGAACGAGUGUGAGAGUGGAAAGUUCACACUGUGACGGUAACUUACCAGAAAGGGACGGCUAACUACGUGCCAGCAGCCGCGGUAAUACGUAGGUCCCGAGCGUUAUCCGGAUUUAUUGGGCGUAAAGCGAGCGCAGGCGGUUAGAUAAGUCUGAAGUUAAAGGCUGUGGCUUAACCAUAGUACGCUUUGGAAACUGUUUAACUUGAGUGCAGAAGGGGAGAGUGGAAUUCCAUGUGUAGCGGUGAAAUGCGUAGAUAUAUGGAGGAACACCGGUGGCGAAAGCGGCUCUCUGGUCUGUAACUGACGCUGAGGCUCGAAAGCGUGGGGAGCAAACAGGAUUAGAUACCCUGGUAGUCCACGCCGUAAACGAUGAGUGCUAGGUGUUGGGUCCUUUCCGGGACUCAGUGCCGCAGCUAACGCAUUAAGCACUCCGCCUGGGGAGUACGACCGCAAGGUUG